CCGCAACCAAUUAAGCCAACCGUCCUCCUCCCUGUGGGGGCCGGUGUGCAGUGGCUGCAAACGACAGCCUCCUUGGGCGCGUAUGCAGCCUGCUGGCUUGUACAGGCUGCUCUAAGGGACCUUGGAGAACAUG
RNAcentral lists this small nucleolar RNA (133 nucleotides) under Echinops telfairi (small Madagascar hedgehog). Its description in RNAcentral is "Small nucleolar RNA SNORA70 (ENSETEG00000023417.1)". It matches the Rfam family "Small nucleolar RNA SNORA70". From Rfam's summary of the family: snoRNA U70 seems to be exclusive to mammals and is a member of the H/ACA class of snoRNA which contain H (ANANNA) and ACA box motifs. H/ACA box snoRNAs are involved in the conversion of uridines to pseudouridines (5-ribosyluracil) a constituent of structural RNAs (transfer, ribosomal, small nuclear, and small nucleolar). Lineage: Eukaryota; Metazoa; Chordata; Mammalia; Afrosoricida; Tenrecidae. The record is from RNAcentral.